CGCGGAGUAGAGCAGUCCGGUAGCUCGUCGGGCUCAUAACCCGAAGGUCGCGGGUUCAAAUCCCGCCCCCGCAACCA
Molecule: transfer RNA, 77 nt
Filed under: Desulfurobacterium sp.
Lineage: Bacteria; Pseudomonadati; Aquificota; Aquificia; Desulfurobacteriales; Desulfurobacteriaceae
Description: tRNA-Met
Rfam family: tRNA
About the family: Transfer RNA (tRNA) molecules are approximately 80 nucleotides in length. Their secondary structure includes four short double-helical elements and three loops (D, anti-codon, and T loops). Further hydrogen bonds mediate the characteristic L-shaped molecular structure. tRNAs have two regions of fundamental functional importance: the anti-codon, which is responsible for specific mRNA codon recognition, and the 3' end, to which the tRNAs corresponding amino acid is attached (by aminoacyl-tRNA synthetases). tRNAs cope with the degeneracy of the genetic code in two manners: having more than one tRNA (with a specific anti-codon) for a particular amino acid; and 'wobble' base-pairing, i.e. permitting non-standard base-pairing at the 3rd anti-codon position.
Source: RNAcentral